GACGUAGGGGGCCAGCGUUGUUCGGAAUUACUGGGUGUAAAGGGUUCGUAGGCGGUGUGGCAAGUCGGGAGUGAAAUCUCUGGGCUCAACCCAGAGACUGCUUCCGAAACUGCUGUGCUUGAGUGUGAGAGAGGCUCGUGGAAUUGCAGGUGUAGUGGUGAAAUGCGUAGAGAUCCGGAGGAACCCCAGAGGCGAAGGCGGCGCCCUGGCCCGACACUGACGCUCAGACACGACAGCAUGGGGAGCGAACGGG
This 253-nucleotide ribosomal RNA is filed under the name uncultured bacterium. RNAcentral's name for it is "partial 16S ribosomal RNA". It matches the Rfam family "Bacterial small subunit ribosomal RNA", at positions 524 to 776 of the family's 1533-position model. The record is from RNAcentral.